Rattus norvegicus (Norway rat) is the source of this 3372-nucleotide long non-coding RNA. RefSeq lists it as uncharacterized. Lineage: Eukaryota; Metazoa; Chordata; Mammalia; Rodentia; Muridae. The record is from RefSeq and is a predicted model, not a curated record.
CCUGGGUAGAGAAAAGGGGUGGAUCAGUCAUCUCUAACCGUUUUAGUCACCGGGAUGUCACUGACCCACAGGUGUAUGGAGGGUGUGUGCCUUCUGUCCAGCUGAAGCGCGUUUAUGGUUAUGGUAGUGUUAGAAGAGGAUGGUCAUGCAUUGCAGGUGCUUCUCAACUCACAAGAGCUUGCUAGUGACCACUCUCUUCUGACCUUCCCUCUCAGCGAAAUGAAAAAGAGCCAUGUUCUAUGGGUGUUGUUUUUAAAAAGAAAAAGAAAAAAAACUUCAUUUCUAUUAAAUUCCAAUGCUAAACAACAAUAAUGCUUUUUUUUUUUAAGCCUGGCAUGGUGGUGCAUGCAUGCCUUUACAGAAACAAAUGGAUCUCUGUGAAUCUGGGGCCAGCCUGGUUUAUUUACACUGUGAAUUCUAGGUUACCCAGUAGUAGAGAGUGAGGCCUGUCUUCGACAAAAAUCCCAAGGCCCUUUGUACUGGCUCCAAAGAAGGGAGGGAACUUGGUGCUCUAAGGCAGUUACCCCGCCCCAUCGACUCUCGAAACGGAAGACCCGCCCCAGAGAAUGCGGAAGACCCGCCCCAUCCGGUCUCCAAACGGAAGACCCGCUUCAGAGGAUGCUUUUCAAUCCUCAUCAACAUUUUCGGUUUGGCGUCAUGCUAGUUCCAGGUGCAAACGUCCUAUCUCAGCUGCUUACCUACUCUUUUCUGCAUUCUCUUUUCAGUAAUUAAUCAAUCGAUCAGUCGAUCCAAAGACCUCCGCCCUUUCAGAGGCUUUCAGUGGUUCCUCCUGGCGUCUUUUUCUUGCCAGUUUUCAUUCCUCGAUCAUAAAGCAGGACCAUGACCUCCCUCAUUUCACUUACUGUCCACUCAACUUUUUCCGUAACUCAACAAAUACUAUGUGGGCAUUAUCAUAUUUUAAAAUUCACUUCCUUACAAACUAAACAUCCCCACUUCUGCAUUCCUUAGCUCCCAAUGCUUUCUCUGGCUCCAAUCUUGGAAAUCACGAUUUGUGUUUUCACGCACGCCCCUUCUACUUAUUCACCUAUAUAGGAGUCUGUGUGAUGUUACAAGCUUACAUUUUUUUCUUAGUAGUAGAUUUUAACACGCAUGAACUUCUGUAACUCUCAGCUACUUAUACACCUCACAGUUUCUUCUGCACCAUGAUGCAAAUCAAGGUAAUUCUUUUAAACCGUUGGAUCAUUGUGACUAUAGCAUAGUGUUUUUAAACCAUUCCUCCACUGAUAAGAUAUUUGGAGUAUUUACAACUUUUUUGCCACUACAGUAGUGACGAGUGUCUAUUGAAUAUGAAUGUGCCUAUGUAGAUGUGGAACAGUUAAUGAAGCUUAAUUUUAAAAUAACCAAGUUGCUUCCACCACUCUAUGUGGUAAAGACUUGCUUAAGAGUGAUCCAGGCCUUGGGUUAAUUUCCAAGUACUAAGGUGGGUUAUAUGGAGGGACAAUGGGAGGGACAGGCAAAGGAUUACAACAAGGCUCUCUAUUUAGAGACAGAAGCUAUGAAAAGGGAACUAGGAAGGGGCUAGCAUUUGUGCCAACUGAGCUUGUAAUGCCAGCAUCCUGUGCAUAAAAAUAGCAGCUUGGCAAGCUGAGGAGCUGAGGAGAUAGAAGGUCAGAUCUCCCACAGCAACUAUAACCAGGAGGUUAUAGACGUUGGAGCCUUUAUGAGGAGUAGAGAGUCAAGGCCUAGAAAUCAAAGAGUUACUCAGAAAAGCACAAAAAGAAGGCAAAGGUGGCAAAGAACCACGACCAGAGUGACAGCUUAGUGGCAUGAAAAAAAACCUUUAAAGGAGAUUUAAAAACCAUUGGGGGAGGGGUUGGGGAUUUAGCUCAGUGGUAGGCCCUGGGUUUGGUCCCCAGCUCUGAAAAAAAGAAAAGAAAAAAAAAAUCAUUGGGGGAGGGGUAAGGGGGGAGGGGGGAGAGAGAAUCAAACCAGUCUUUUCAAUAAAUUCUUAGUGUCUUCCGAGCGCAGUCCCGGGUGCUGGGAACAUUGAGAGGAAGGGAAAGAGCCCAGCAAUUGCCCACAGCCAAAGUGCGCACAGAUGUUCUACAGCCAUGUGGACAGAGGAUUCCCACAGUAGAAUGGGGUGUGCCGCCUGGGAAAGCAUCUUGUCCUACAUCAGUUGCCCAAAGCUGUAGCUGCAUAGCAGUGAAGAGAACAGAUCUGAGCGCUGGCAGGGAAGGGACUGAUGGCCUGAACUGCAGUGCUUCACUAGUCCUUUGUGACAUGCCAGGCACGGCGUGCACGUCCUUACCAAUGCUCAAGAUCCUCCUCCUAACCCUGCCACUCCUCCUCAUCCCCUAGUCGGCAUUCCGUGGUCAGGAAGAGCUUUCUCGCCAUCAUUUAUCAAGUCGGGAUUGCAUCCUGGAUUCUUACUUUGACCUAGGGUUUGUCAUCCUUUACUGUUAACAUUAGUUUAACGUUCAGCGUUUCCAGACUUGCCAGUAGGAGAGCCUUUACACCGGCUCCUCCCUAUAUUGCGAUCUGUCCCAUCCUUCUCUGUACACAGCAGUACAAGCAGCGUACCAUGCAUAUUCACCCCGUCCCAACCUUGCAAUGGCCUUUUCCAUAGGGAUGGAUAUCGGUUCCGUUUUUGCAGAGCAAUUGCUUCUCUCUCCACUGAACAUACAAGUUGAGAAUUAGCGCUCUGGAGCCUGACCGUAUCAGUAUUGCUCCUAUGGAGCCAUCCCUGAACCUCAGCAAACCCCAGUGGCCCAGCUUCUGUAGAGAACAGAAGAGAGUGUGCACACAUACCGUUCGUGUUUUCCAGGACAGUCUGGUGCUUCACAAAGGCUACGUCUCCCUUCUCAACGAGGCACCUGGAGAGUUCCAGAUACGGGAAAGAGAGAAGACAGGAGAAAAUAUAGAGCAAAGCCUGAAACCUACAUCCUUGACUCUACAAGGCCCACAUAUAUCUGUAUUGUGCAUUGAGAACGGAGAGCUCUGAACCACUGCACAUCUCCCAGAAGUUCCAAGAAAGAAAUACUAGCAACAUUAACUCUGCUGUGUAUGGUUCUACCUUUUUUUUUUUUAACCACAGUCCUUUGAAAGUGGACACACACAGGUGUGAACUAGUGUGCGAUUCAGUGUCUACUCAUGGAAACGGGUGAAACAGAUUCUUAAACAGCGGGCCCCGUCCUUUGCCCUCUUGCUUCAAGGGAAAUCACCUGUCUCUUCGGGCGGUCAUCCGAAAGCUUUGUGGACAGUCACUGAAAAGGCAAAGCGACCGUGCAGCCCUGAGUCAUGGAGUCUCUAUAAGCUAAGAGUCUGUCGGUUUGCUGGUUGCAUGUCAUAUCUGAGUUUUAUAAGACAUUUUGAAAAAUGAAGCCUGUUAGAUAUGUUUCUAAAAGCAAA